UACAGAGGUCUCAAGCGUUGUUCGGAUUCAUUGGGCGUAAAGGGUGCGUAGGCGGCGCGGUAAGUCGGGUGUGAAAACUCGAGGCUCAACCUCGAGCGUGCACCCGAUACUGCCGGGCUUGAGGCAGGUAGGGGAGAUCGGAAUUCCUGGUGUAGCGGUGAAAUGCGCAGAUAUCAGGAGGAACACCGGUGGCGAAGGCGGAUCUCUGGGCCUGUACUGACGCUGAGGCGCGAAAGCUAGGGGAGCGAACAGG
This 253-nucleotide ribosomal RNA is filed under the name uncultured bacterium. RNAcentral's name for it is "partial 16S ribosomal RNA". It matches the Rfam family "Bacterial small subunit ribosomal RNA", at positions 524 to 776 of the family's 1533-position model. The record is from RNAcentral.